AUUGAACGCUGGCGGCAGGCCUAACACAUGCAAGUCGAGCGGAUGAAGGGAGCUUGCUCCUGGAUUCAGCGGCGGACGGGUGAGUAAUGCCAAGGAAUCUGCCUGGUAGUGGGGGAUAACGUCCGGAAACGGGCGCUAAUACCGCAUACGUCCUGAGGGAGAAAGUGGGGGAUCUUCGGACCUCACGCUAUCAGAUGAGCCUAGGUCGGAUUGGCUAGUUGGUGGGGUAAAGGCCUACCAAGGCGACGGUCCGUAACUGGUCUGAGAGGAUGGUCGGUCACACUGGAACUGAGACACGGUCCAGGCUCCUACGGGAGGCAGCAGUGGGGAAUAUUGGACGAUGGGCGAAAGCCUGAUCCAGCCAUGCCGCGUGUGUGAAGAAGGUCUUCGGAUUGUAAAGCACUUUAAGUUGGGAGGAAGGGCAGUAAGUUAAUACCUUGCUGUUUUGACGUUACCAACAGAAUAAGCACCGGCUAACUUCGUG
Molecule: ribosomal RNA, 484 nt
Filed under: uncultured bacterium
Lineage: Bacteria
Description: partial 16S ribosomal RNA
Rfam family: Bacterial small subunit ribosomal RNA
Source: RNAcentral